UUGCUCCCCUCACUGCAGCAGGAAGCCCAGCUUGCGAACUGCAGGUGUGCUCCAGGUGGUCACUGGAUGCAGGGUAUUGACAGAUGGAUCCCAUCGAUACCCCCACUGCAUAACCAUAAAUGGUGAGAGAACUUUGGAUGUGGAAUGUGGAGUAGGAGGAACACGAAGUGGGGAUCUGCACUUGGGGUGGUCAGCACUGCGGAUGCCCAGCAAAGGCACUGCCUGGUCCACAUCCCGGAGUGGUCUCUGCGCCCGAGUCGACAUCGCAGCUGAUGGUGAAACUUUUGGUGUGGCAGAAGAGUGUCCACAAACUUUGGAAGAUCGCUGCUCAGAGUGAUGAAUGGCGUUGUAUUUUGAAUAAAAUAUCUAAGCAUC
RNAcentral lists this small RNA (375 nucleotides) under Pan troglodytes (chimpanzee). RNAcentral's name for it is "processed transcript". The record is from RNAcentral. Lineage: Eukaryota; Metazoa; Chordata; Mammalia; Primates; Hominidae.